Girardinichthys multiradiatus is the source of this 1349-nucleotide long non-coding RNA. RefSeq lists it as uncharacterized. The record is from RefSeq and is a predicted model, not a curated record. The transcript is spliced from 3 exons. NCBI's taxonomy places the organism in Eukaryota, Metazoa, Chordata, Actinopteri, Cyprinodontiformes, Goodeidae.
UCUGGUAUAUACACGGACUCUGAGCAGUUCUAACUCACCGAGGUAUGAGACACGAGGAGGUCGCCUGCAGCUGAGACGGCGUGCGCUUGCACUGUGUCGCAUGAAAGACCACAACUGCAAAUGAAGGUAGUUAGGUGUGCAGUGAUGUGCAACAUGCUGUGGACAGAUGCCACCGAGGAUAAAGACCUUUUCUCUAUUACUGCCUGCCACUGUCACUGUCGACUGAACUCUUUUUGAUCCCAAUGAGAACACGCUUGGCCUCACCAGGACCGACGUCUCAUGCAGGAGCUUGGACACAGCAUGAUCGAUCAGUUGGAUCAAUCAAAAAUGAUCGUCUCCAGCUGCCAAUGAAACCCAGUAACUGCUGCGUCUCAUUCCUUCGUCUUUUCGUCUGACUGCAAAGAAAAUUCAAGUCUUCCUUUUUCCAACAUUUUAAGUUAACACAUCAGGAAAACUUAGCUCAACCAACAACGUUUUUGUUGCUGAUUUAUAACAAACCUGUUAACUUAAAAUCCGAUCAUUUUUAAGUAGUUUCUAUUUCGACUAACUUUUUAAGAUAAGUUAUCAACCUAACAACGUGUUCAUGCAGCAAACCGACAUUUUUAUGCUGAAAAUGUUUUUUCUUUUAACUAACUACUAACCCCCUAAAUCAUCUUUGACAAAAUUCAAAAUUAGACUCAAAUGAAAAUAGAAAAUGCUCACAUCCAUGUCCUGAAUAUAUUAUUACAUUUUUCCAAUUUUAUUCAAAUAAAAUUAUCUUAUUUUGUAUAUUUCUUCAAUGGUUGCUGUGCGAAAUUAUAAACAAGGCAGGUCCAGUUCGCUUGUAAAUUAAUGUUCUUUACAGAAGUAAGAAAAAGCAUUAAAAUGACAUCAAAGACAUCAAAAAUAAUAUUUUAAAAUCUAACUAUGAUGCAUUAAAAAAUCAAUAAAAUGCUAAUACAAAGCUAUUAAUUAACUGGUAGAAUAAAAUGUAAAAAUAAGUGUUUUUAUCUUUACAUAAAAAGCUGCAUUAAACAUGUGGAGCUUCUUGCUGGACAGGCUUCCUGGGCAAGGUCCUCCUUCUGGCACCUCACACACAACCAAACACUCAUCUGCUCCAUGGAUUUACCAUAUUGCACAAACAAAGGGAAAACAACCUGUUUUUUAUCGAGUUUUGACAAAAAUUCAACGUGGAAGACUCACGUCCACUUCUGGCUCCGUCUAACUACUCCACCACGUUCUUCGCUCCAACCAAUCAGCUCCUGAUCCACAUUCCUCUUCAGCCAAUCAUCCCUCAAGGCUUCACUUUAAAAGACCUUCAUACGCAGAAUCUCCUGCUCGUCAGCUGAGCUUCGACCUUCCUCCACCCC